This 488-nucleotide ribosomal RNA is filed under the name uncultured bacterium. RNAcentral describes it as "partial 16S ribosomal RNA". It matches the Rfam family "Bacterial small subunit ribosomal RNA", at positions 28 to 507 of the family's 1533-position model. The record is from RNAcentral.
GACGAACGCUGGCGGCGUGCUUAACACAUGCAAGUCGAACGCGCCUGUCCUCUGGGUUUCUGGGGGGUGGGUGAGUGGCGAACGGGUGAGUAACACGUGAGUAACCUGCCCCCUUCUUCGGGAUAACGGUCUGAAAGGGCUGCUAAUACCGGGUAUUCACUGGUCUCCGCAUGGGGUCUGGUGGAAAGGUUUUUUUCUGGUGGGGGAUGGGCUCGCGGCCUAUCAGCUUGUUGGUGGGGUGAUGGCCCACCAAGGCUUUGACGGGUAGCCGGCAUGAGAGGGUGACCGGUCACAGUGGGACGGAGAUACGGCCCAGACUCCUACGGGAGGCAGCAGUGGGGAAUAUUGCACAAUGGGCGCAAGCCUGAUGCAGCGACGGCGCGUGAGGGAUGGAGGCCUUCGGGUUGUGAACCUCUGGCGCCCGUGGUCAAGCCGCGACGUGGGUCGUGGUGAGGGUAGUGGGUAAAGAAGCGCCGGCUAACUACGUG